AAUCAACGCUGGCGGCGUGCCUCAGACAUGCAAGUCGAACGCGAAAGCCCCCUUCGGGGGGCAAGUAGAGUGGCGCACGGGUGAGUAACACGUAGGUAAUCUACCUUUGGAUGGGGAAUAACAACCGGAAACGGUUGCUAAUACCGCAUAAUGCAGCGGCACCUAAUGGUGACAGUUGUUAAAGCGGGGGAUCGCAAGACCUCGCGUCUGAAGAGGAGCCUGCGGCAGAUUAGCUAGUUGGUAGGGUAACGGCUUACCAAGGCGAUGAUCUGUAGCCGGCCUGAGAGGGCGGUCGGCCACACUGACACUGACAUACGGGUCAGACUCCUACGGGAGGCAGCAGUCGGGAAUUUUGGGCAAUGGGCGAAAGCCUGACCCAGCAACGCCGCGUGAAGGAUGAAAUCCCUCGGGAUGUAAACUUCGCAAGAACGGGAAGAAUAAGUCGGUGUUAACACCACCGGCGAUGACGGUACUGUUUGUAAGCUCCGGCUAACUCCGUGCCAGCAGCCGAC
RNAcentral lists this ribosomal RNA (512 nucleotides) under uncultured bacterium. RNAcentral describes it as "bacterial SSU rRNA". It matches the Rfam family "Bacterial small subunit ribosomal RNA", at positions 32 to 518 of the family's 1533-position model. The record is from RNAcentral.